This 536-nucleotide ribosomal RNA is filed under the name uncultured bacterium. RNAcentral describes it as "partial 16S rRNA". It matches the Rfam family "Bacterial small subunit ribosomal RNA", at positions 355 to 896 of the family's 1533-position model. The record is from RNAcentral.
UGGGGAAUAUUGCACAAUGGGCGAAAGCCUGAUGCAGCAACGCCGCGUGAACGAUGAAGGUCUUCGGAUCGUAAAGUUCUAUUGCAGGGGAAAAUAAUGACGGUACCCUGUGAGGAAGCCCCGGCUAACUACGUGCCAGCAGCCGCGGUAAUACGUAGGGGGCUAGCGUUAUCCGGAUUUACUGGGCGCAAAGGGGGCGUAGGUGGUCCUUCAAGUCCGUGGUUAAAGGCUACGGCUCAACCGUAUUAAGCCGNNGAAUUUGNNGAAUUGNAAGUGCAGGAGAGGAAAGUGGAAUUCCCAGUGUAGCGGUGAAAUGCGUAGAUAUUGGGAAGAAAACCCCUAACGAAGGGGGUUUUUUGUGGGCUGCAACUGAAACUGAGGAAAAAAGGGGGGGAAAAAAAAAAAAUAAAACCCCGGGGCCCCCCCCCUAAAAAAAAAAAAAAAANGGGGGGGGGGNNNNCNNCCCNCGGGNCNNNUNANANNANNNUAUAAAUAUCCNUUAAGUACUCCGCCUGGGGAGUACGCACGCAAGUGUG